Molecule: RNA transcript, 3268 nt
Organism: Lycium ferocissimum
Lineage: Eukaryota; Viridiplantae; Streptophyta; Magnoliopsida; Solanales; Solanaceae
Exons: 3
Source: RefSeq, a predicted model, not a curated record
UUUUGAAUCUUCUUCUUGGCUUCUCCUUCUUCUUCAAGUAUAUAUCGGAUCUAUAUGAUCUGCUGAGUGAUACGACCAAGGGCAUUAGGUGUUAUGGUAAAUUAGUGGUGCUCUUUUACAUUUUCAAGACAUGUACACGUGUAGAUUUUGUUGCAGACCCACUUGAUUUUGCCUGCCCCAAUUUUUUCUUUGUAAAAUUUGGUAAGCAAUCUAUCAUUUGGCUUUUACGAUUUCUCUCCAUCCUUUGGUGAGUUUUCUAUUUUCUUUUUUUGAUCUAUUUUCUUUUGUUUUUUAUCUUCUAUUUUCUCUGCUUAACUCUUCUUUUUUAUUUCUAUCUUUUACUUUCCCUGUGUAAUUUUGUUGCAUUUUCUGUUCUUUCUAAAACAAUUUGGUGACUUUUCAGUUUCCCCUUCCUUGCCUUUUCCUCUGUUUUUUCAAUCAUGCGUAUGUUUCAAUAUGAAAAUUUUGGGUCUAAUUUUUUCUAACUUCUAUCAGGUUGUUUUCUGUGUAAUUAGUUUCCAAUAGAUAGCAGAACUUCCCAGAGUUCUGAUAAUCUACACUCGGAAUUGAAUGAAGGAUGUAAAUGAGCUCUUUUUUAUCUUUAUGAAAUAAAAACAAGAAUUUAUAAUGGCUGUAGCAGGUACUGAUUCACAAUAUCUGCAACUACAUGCAUGAUAUUACAUUACUCCUACAUAUAUUGUGUUUGUUUCUUUAGUACAAUGGUUGUAUGUAUUUGGCCCUUUUUCCUGUUCAUGUAUAUUGUAGGAAAAAGGGAAAGCAAAAUUGUUUUAACCAGAGCAACUGAAGCACGUAGCCCUUUAAGAUCUUUUAGAAUGCUUUGAGGACAAGCAAAAUUGUUUGCCUUACUUGCUGAAUUUAUUUGCCCGAAAUUUGACCGCUCUGCAUUAGGAACUUCUUGGAUCUUGGAAAUUGGAAUAGAAUGGUUCAAGGGUCCUAGACGAAACAAUUUAUUUUCUUUUCUUUUGUGUAUAUAAUAAGUGUGAAUUUUGUGGUAAGACCAAGGGCAUUACUGUAAAUAUAAUACAAAGUGUGGCUGUUAUGGUAAAUUAUUCAUUUAAGCAGGACUCAAAUAUUCUUCGUACUAGGUCAUAAUGUUUGUAUCCGCUUACCUUCAUUGAAUUUUUGGUGUAAAUAUUGUAGCAGUAAUGGUAUUAAGACGAACUCAAUGGGAAUAGAGAAGGGCUAUGUGAACGAAAUUCCCAAAGGUCAGUAAAUGCAUUUAUGCUCAGUCAAUUAUUUCAGUUGUCUUUAUGUUCUACAUUAGAGUUGGCAAAAAUGAGUUAGUCACCCGCCUUUCUAUAAAAAACCACCAGUAAAGCAGUUUCUUAUAAUUUUGUAAGACUUAUGAGAAAGAAAACAACUGGGCUUGCAGUAGGGGAAACGAGGUUGUUGAAAGUCGAGGUGAGCAAGAAGAAGAGUAGAUUAUGGUAGGUCAUUGGUGAAUUCCUGAGAUUCUAUGUUUUGUUGGAGAGAAUAUGUAGGAGUAGCUUUUUAUUUAAAGAAAUUUCUAUUCGAGUAUUUUAGCUAUUUAUUUUUGCCAUGAAUGUGUAAGUGGUCAUGUCUAAAAUAGUUGGAAGUACUUAUCAAAAAAAAAUUUAUAGUUGGAAGUAUGGCGAACAAAAGCAUCUCUGCUUUGGCGAUAACUGAAUUAAGUUCUGACUAGCUGUUUUAAGCUAAUUUUGACACUACUAAAAAGUUGUAAUUAGGUCCUUGGUAGUAGAACUGGCAAUAAAAUGAUUUGCGUCUAAUAUUUGGUGUAUCUUAUCUCAUAUGUUUUUACUAUAUACCUUCUCAAAAAAUGUUUUUACUAUAUAACCAUCUCAUUUCAUGUGGAUUUGGCAUGUAAUCUACAGCUUCAUAUCUGAUUUGAGUUCAUCCUUGACGUUUACAAUGAUCAGUGGCUUACUUUCAUCCACUAGACCCCCUAAAAGUUCUUCAUUUACAUUCUCAUGUUUCCCAUAAAGUACUAAUAGUAAAUAUGAGUUAGAAAAGACUUCAAUAUUAAACAGAAAAUUAAGAAAUGUUGGAGAUUUUGGGUGUCUUUUUCUUCUUCAACUUUGGCAUAAUUGAUCUUUUACAAGUACUUUUGGUGUUUGUCUCUAACAAGUUCUGCUUAAAGUGAGACCAAUGGUGUUAUCAGUGGCUUUUUAUUUCUCGCUGCGGAGAAACAGGAAAAUGGAUAGUUCUAUGUAAGUACUUGCUACAUUUGCAGAUUCCCCUAUUUGGGCAUAGGGACUAAAGGAAAGCAUCUCUGUUCUUGACUUGAAAUAGAGUAGUACAUCUUCAACUAUAAGUUCCUUCACACAAGGCAAAUUAUUCAUCCGCAGAUUCUCAUACAGUUCAGUGAUGUCGGCAAAUUUAAAUUUGCUUUAUUAAAAAAGAGAAUGAACAAGGACAAUAUUUUGAUAGUGCUUUAUAGUUUCAUCAUGCUAUAACUACUGAUAUCAUUUUGCUCAGGAUUCAUUAUUAAUGAAAAGCUUCCAUUCUAUUUCUAUCAUUGGCAUCUUUUUAACACUAAAGUAUAAAUAAUUAAUUUAUUAAUUUUUUUCAUUUUAUAUCUUGGUCAGUAGAAAAUAUGUACAGACAACUUUUCUAAUGGUCAUAUAAAAACAAGAUAUGCUGGUGUCACUCGAGGAUGACAAUUUGGUUUUGGACUGAGCGUAAAAAAGGAGGCAAAUCCAAUGUAAUCUUACCGCAAAUCUGGUCUUGGCAUCUGAUGAAUUUCCUCUUGGCCUUGGACGAUUAUCUUAGGAUACAUUAUGCUAUAUGAAGUGGCAUGCUUUUUUUGUUACUGACUCAUGAUGAUUGUUUGACUCACAUAAAUUUGCAGAAAACAGAUAUCCAAAUGUGCAGCGGGUGUUUAAGGUUUCUAAGGAAUUGAAGUGUUGUUAUAUAGCCCAUUAUAGCUCAACAAAUUGGAGGCAGGUUGCUCCGUCACAAGAGAAAAAAUUUCAAUCCUUUCAUCCUCAAAGGUCUCCGUCACAUGUACAUGAGUCUUCAUAUAGAAGAUGAAACGACUUACAUUUACUUCAGCGGAUGUAUUUCUAUAAAGCCCUUUGAUAUAUUUGUAUUCUCAUAUAUUGUCAUGAUUCAAUCAAAGAUAGUUAUUAUAACGUAAUAACCCAAAUUAACCAUAUUGGGCCUGUGCAUUGCAUGGGCAAACCUUGCUAGUUUAUUUUAGAACGUAGGAUGAUUAGAAAAUUCAUGAGGAGAUAAAUAUGAGCACCACGUGACAGGCAUCUGAAGU